UGUGAUUUUUAGGACAUGACAGUAAUACUGAGAGUAAAGUUCCCCCUGUAUUAUCUGUCUAGGUAUUUAUGUUGUCUAAAUGUUGCUCUGCCAUUAAAACAAGACGUUGAUCCAUUUUCCCCCCCCCCCCACCAGGUUGUGUAUGAACAAGAAGGGGUUUUCAUUCAUUCAUCCUGUGCAAAAAAUGACGACCAGGACAGUAUAAUAUCAGGAGUACUUCGUGUCAUAGAAAAGGAAGCUGAAGUAAUAGUAGACUGGAGACCAUUGGAUGAUACUUUGGACUCUUCCAAUAUCCUCUGUGCUGGAAAGGAUUCCAGUUCAGUUGUAGAGUGGACACAAACCCCUAAAGAAAAAUCUCCACGAGGGUCAGACCACCAGAGUAAUUAUGAAGCAGAAUGGGACAUGGUCAACACAGUCUCAUUUAAAAAGAAGCCAUGUUCUAAUGGAGAUGCUACAACUCGUGCAAAUGGAGAAAGCAAGUGGUCAUUCCAGUUCAGUUUGACAGAUCUGAAGUCAAUUAAACAAAACAAAGAAGGCAUGGGAUGGUCUUAUUUGGUAUUCUGUCUAAAGGAUGAUGUCAUCCUCCCAGCUCUUCACUUCCAUCAUGGUGAUAGCAAAUUAUUGACUGUGUCCCUUGAAAAAUAUGUGGUGUUGUGUGAAUCUUCACAGGAUAAAAGAAUUCUUCUUGUCAAUUGUCAGAACAAGAGUCUUUCACAGUCUUUUGAAAAUCUCCUUGAUGAACCAACAUAUGGUCUAAUACAGGUAGAGCAACUAGACAGAAGAAAGACAUUUUGGGCCAUUCACCAUUGGAAAAAAUUGAAGAAGGAUCCAUAUACAGCAACUAUGGGAGGAUUUUCCAAAGUGACAAACUAUAUUUUUGAUAGUUUGCGAGGAAGUGACUCUUCAACUCAACAGCGACCACCAUCUGAAAUGGCAGACUUUCUCAGUGAUGCUAUUCCAGGGCUAAAGAUAAAUCAACAGGAAGAACCAGGAUUUGAAGUUAUUACACGAAUUGAUCUAGGUAAACGACCUGACGUUAUCAGAAGAGAGCCAGUGUCUGCUGAAGAAUGGACUAAGAACAUGGAUUCAGAAGGAAGAAUCUUAGAUGCUGACUUCAUAAAGCAAAUGAUAUUCAAAGGGGGACUCUGCCAUGCUUUGAGAAAAGAAGUAUGGAAAUUCCUUUUGGGUUAUUUUCCUUGGCACAGUACCAGAGAGGAAAGAACUAAUUUGCAAAAAAGAAAAACAGAUGAAUAUUUCAGGAUGAAACUUCAGUGGAAAUCAGUCAGCGAUGAGCAAGAAAAACGAAAUUCAAGAUUAAGAGACUAUAAGAGUCUUAUAGAAAAAGAUGUAAACAGAACAGACAGAACAAACAAGUUCUAUGAAGGCCAAGAUAAUCCAGGAUUGAUUUUGCUUCAUGACAUUUUGAUGACCUAUUGUAUGUAUGACUUUGAUUUAGGGUAUGUUCAGGGAAUGAGUGACUUGCUUUCUCCUGUCUUGUAUGUCAUGGAAAAUGAAGUGGAUGCCUUUUGGUGCUUUGUAUCAUACAUGGAUCAAAUGCUGCAAAGAAUCCAUCCUGGUGUCUGUUGCCUUGGGGAAAAUCGCAUUGCGCAGAAGUGUGGAUUUUGCCAGCAGUUGAAACUGUGGUCCCGAAAGGAUAGAGAACUGAGACUUAAACUUCUUCCAGUGGAAGCAGCUCUCCAACUGCCUUCAGACCCAUGUCAAGACUCAGUAUGGUGGGAAUCCUUACCACAGCUCUCUACAUCCAAGGAGGGUGAGCCUAAGAAGACACCUAUGAACCACUCACACAAGGCUUUUAAAAAGAGAGCCGGGAGUCCCCACAGCAAGCCCUGAACCAGCCGAAAACUGCCAGUUCACUCAGUAUCAUCGGUACUGACGGUACAGAAGCCAUCCAAAUGCAGUACCUAGAGCUCAUACGGUACUGUCCCAGCAGAACACAUUAGGCUGCCUAAGGACCCAAUGGGCCUAGGCAAUGAAACGUCGGUAACGACUGGGUGAGACGGAGAUACUCUGCCUUGGGGAAGGCUCCGUUGGUGUGGACAAUGGCAUCUGUACCGUCAAAGGUAUGCCAACCACCAGUGAAUCGUUCAACCAGGACCGCAUCACCAAUUCCAUUGGUAUAGUCACUCCGGCACCAUCGUCCACCCCCCAGUAACCAAUACCUACUGCACCUCCUGACUUCAGAUAUUCAAGAGACCUUAUAGUGUCUGAUGUACUGGAGUCUCCUCUACUUACUACCAGGGCUCUGGUACCAAGUCUGCCUUGAGUUCCAGAUUUUCCUUCUGCAUUGUGCCAUUCACCUGCAUUCUCUAGCAGGGAGUCAGACAGUGAGCAGGAGGAGGUAGUCUCCCAUUGCUCUUCAUUUACCUUAUGGUAUCCAUUACCAAUCUGGACCUCUUCAGGCUCCCUGUCCAUCUGACCCUCAGCCUCCCUGGUAUGGUCAGCCAUGGUACUAAACACUGAGACCUUUCCUGCCAUCCCAGUGGCCUUACUGGGAUUCAUGGCAGGCAUAUAGACAUUGUGCCUCCUGAAGUUCUAGCAUGGCUUACCAGGAACCAGUGAGGCAACCUUCUUCUGCCACUGCAGCCAGAGCCUUUGAGCCCCCUGACGAGAUGAGGGAAGAACAGGAGGAUAAUAUUGUGGAAGAGGUUACACCCCAAACUAAUUUCUCAUCUUCAUCACCAGAUGAAACAGUGAUGUCUCUCCACCAUUGUUAGCAGACAACUUUAAAUUUUUUUCAAGAACUAGCUCAGAGGGUGGCUUACAUACUGCAGUUACCACUACAAGAGGUGACAGAAUCCCACCAUAAAUUACUGGACAUUUUACACCCCUCUGCCUCAUCCAGAGUAGCUCUCCCUAUCAGCAAGGCUCUGUUAGACCCAACCAAACUUGCGCGGCAGACCCCUGCAUCGGUCCGGCCAACCUGUAGGCAGGCUAAUAAGAAAUAUUACGUGCCAGUGAAAGACACAGAAUUUCUCUUCUCCCACCCCCACACCCCAAUUCAGUCAUUGUGGAGGUGGUAAACUCCAAAGGUCAGCACCACCAGAGCUUUCCCAAAAGUGCGUCAGGGCAGUGCCCCCACUCCCUCCGUGGCCCUGCCCUGCUCCUUCCGCCUGAUGCCCCACCCCAGGCCAAGCUAGAAGCCAGAGCAGGCCAGGAGCCAUGGACCCUCACCUCAUCUGCCCAGGGCAGGUGGAGGGGAUCAUGGCUCACCACAGUUGCCCACACGGCAUUUCUCGACCCAGCCAUCUUUUACGAGAACAGAUAGACCAAAGGUUUCUACUCUCAUUACUUCCUGAUACCAAGAAAAAGGGAGGUUGGAGACCCAUUUUAGAUCUCUGAGCACUCAACAAAUUUGUCAAGGCUCAAAAGUUCAAGAUGGUCACUUUAGCAACAAUUAUUCCAGCGUUGGAACAGGGAGACUGGUUUUCAAUCCACUACCUCCAGGAUGCUUAUUUCCAUAUUUCAGUCAUGUCAUAUCUCACAGAUGAUAUCUCAGAUUCACACUAGGGCAGGAACACUACCGGUACAGAGAACUCCUUUUUGGCCUCUUGUUGGCUCCCAUAGUAUUCCCCAAGAUCCUCUCUGUAGUGGCAGCCCACCUACGCUCUCAGGGGAUCAUAAUCUACCUUUAUCUGGACAGUUGUCUGUUCAGGGCACACUCCUUUGACAAAACUCAGCAGGUUACCCAUAUGACUUUGGAUUUAUUCAGAAAACUAGGCCUACAAAUUAACGUACAAAAAUAGACAUUAACCCCAGUAUAGAGUGUAGAAUUCAUAGGAGCCAAUGUUGACUCUGUCCAAGUGUGAGCGCUCCUUCUAUAACACAGAUUGCUCAGUUUCUUCAUGCUUAUAGAGACAGUGCAAACCAGCCCUUAGAUAUUGGCCAGACAUUGCCUUCAGCUUCUGGGACACGUGACCAUGGAUACAUUUGUGAUGGUUUAUGCCAGACUUCGUAUGAGAUGCUUCCAGUCAUGGUUCAGCUCGGUUUACAGACUGAACAAAGACAGCCUGAACAAACCACUAUCUCUACCGACCAAGAUAAAACAAUCUUUGAAUUGGUGGAAGAACCCAGCAAACGUCUACAUGGGGAUCCCAUUUGUGCAACCUCCUCCUCCACCACUGCUCACCAUCAACGGAUACCCCCCAUAAGGUUGGGUGCACAUCUCAAUGACCUCACAGUACAGGGUAAAUGGUCACCCUCUGAGAUGUGUCUUAACAUCCACCUCCUCGAGCUCAGAGCUGGGUGCCUGGCCAGCACCCGCCGGUAUCAGGGUGCCCUGCCAGUGCUUAAUUUGUGCCAGGGCUGAGCUCUGGCAUCUCUUUCAACACAAAUUCAACACUGGGGGAGGCAAUGGAGCCCAGAGGUGAAGGGGGUGGGGGAAGCCUAGCAAGCCCAUGGGGGCCAGGGGUAAUGGGGGGUGCCAAAAUACAAGUUUGCCCAGGGUGCCAUUUCCCUUAAGGCCAGCCCUGGAUACCCCAUAACAUACUCCAGUAAUGGGGGACAUCAGUAGUAGACUUGUUCACCACUUACCAGAAUAAGAAAUGGUCGCAAUACUGCUCCAGAGCAGGCCUCGGAGAGCGCUCUUUGGGGGACACACUCCUCCUCUCAUGGGACAAGGGCCUUCUUUACGCCUUACACUGUUUCCUCUCUUGCUGAAAGUCCUGUUGAAAAUAAAGAGAAAAAGAGUAAAUGUCAUAGUAAUUGCUCCUACCUGCCCAAGAGAGAUGUGGUACCCUUAACAGUCACAACUUGCAAUGUGUCCACCGAUCACACAUCAACCCAGUCCUUAUCUCCUCUCGCAGAAAGAAGGAUGCACUCUCCAUCCCAGCCUAUGUAUACUCUGGCUCAAAGCCUGGCUUUUUUAUGGUUCCAGCAUAUAGAGAGAUCCUUCUCCAAGGAGAUACAGGAAGUGUUAUUAUACAGCAGGAAAUUAACUACUCGUCGUACUUACCUACAAAAGUGGACCAGAUUUGAGAUGUGGUGCAUUCUAGAGGAAUUACUGGACAUAAACUACUCUACCACUAGUCUUAGACUAUUUUCUGACUCUUAAGAAAUCGGGACUCUCUAUUAGUUCACUAAAGGUACGCUUGGCGGCAAUAGCAACUUUUCAUCAAAAGAUAGAAGUUUUCUCACACCCAAUUACAAAAUGGUUUUGUAAAGGCAUAACAAAUCUUUCUCCAACCCAGAUAUUCUACCCCACCAUGGGACCCGACUUUAGUAUUAAAAGGGUUGACCAGAUUGCUCUUUGAACCCAUGGCCACUUGUUCACUAACACACCUUUCAGUGAACACUGCCUUUCUAGUCAUCAUCACCUCAAUGAGUAUAGGGGAGAUAGUGGCUCUUAUGGCGCAACUCCCUUUCCAGUGUUCUUUCCUGACAAAGUCAUGCUCUGACCACACCCAAAGUUCACCCUCAAGGUGACUUCUACCUUUCACGUGAAUCAAAACAUUCAUCUCCCUGCCUUUUAUCCCAAACCUCACCAGGAUAACAGAGAAGCCAUUCUACACAUGCUUGAGGUAAGGAGAGCCUUGGCUUUCUAUUUGGAUAGGACAGAGGCCUAUAUAAAAUCUAAUAGGCUCUUCCUCUCCAUUGCGGAUAGGUCUAAAGGCAUAGUGAUUUCAGCCCAGAGAUCUCUGAGUGGGUCUCGAACUGCAUCAAACUCUGUUAUCAGGCUCGCAAUUUAGUACCUCCAUCUACAAUCCAUACACACUCUACAAGGUCGGUUUCCUCCUCGGUCACCUUCUUCAAGCAUGUCCCCGUCCUGGAAAUCUGCAGAGUAGCUACUUGAGCAUCUGCACACACCUUUGCAAAACAUUAUGCCAUCAUGGGAGACUUAUGCCGAUGCUAGAUUCAGCUGUGCAGUCAUCCAUAGCAGACUUGACUCCGAAGCUCCAGCUUCCCAUUGGGGAUACUACUUGGGAGUCACCUACAGUGGAGCACCCAUAGGAGCAAUACUUGAAAAAGAAGAGGAAGUUACUCACUUUGUGCCAUAACAAUUAUUCUUGGAGAUGUGUUCCCCUAUGGGUGCUCCACGACCCUCUCUCCUUCCCUCUACUUUGGAGUUCUCAUUAUUGACUCUGCGGUAGAGAAGAAACUAAGGAGGGUUCGCCUGCAUGAUGCUGGCUAGCCUCAUGGCAGAGCACAAGGGGGGGCCCAGCCCAUGUGUGGGCCAAAUGGACACUGCAACCAAAGUUCAACGAUCAGCAGUGCAGGGAUGCAAACACACCUAGUGUGGAACACUUAUAGGGACGCACAUCUCAAAAAAUCAUCGUUGCUGCACAAGCAUGAGAAUUUUGAGGAACAAAUGCAGGGUAUGAAGACACAGCUAAUUCAACUGAGUACUUUGCUCCGCUUGCUAGACAGUGGAUUUUGCAGUUACUUAGAAUCUCAAGACUCGGGUUACCUUUAUUUUUGCUUCCGAUG
Molecule: RNA transcript, 6444 nt
Organism: Dermochelys coriacea (leatherback sea turtle)
Lineage: Eukaryota; Metazoa; Chordata; Testudines; Dermochelyidae
Gene: TBC1D15
Gene name: TBC1 domain family member 15
Exons: 15
Source: RefSeq, a predicted model, not a curated record